AACUCACUUCUUUCCAAGCAGGAUUCCUGCAGCAGGAGGUGCUGGCUUUCACUUUCUGUGGUCUUGGCUGCCAGUGUCCCCAGCAGGACAGGGGUGUGCCCUGUCCUGCCAUGGGUGGGGAGCAGGGGGAGUUCUGGUGGGUGCGCAGCUUUGAGUCUCUGUCGGCCUGCACUUGUCUCUCUUGUCCUCAUUCUUGACUAAAUUUCAGUUGAAUUUCUUCUUUUUUUUUUUUUUCUUUGAGACGGAGUAAGACAGAAAAAAAAAAAAACAGGGAAAGGCAAUGCAUGUGAAGGUGCUCACAACAGCUUACUUACAAUAAGGGAAAAGCUGACAGCGGGGGAAGUGUCUGAGCUAAGCACAUUGCAGCCCACCUCUUCCACAGGUUAUUGUACAGCCACUAUAAAGAGUCAUGAUGAAGGUAAUGCAAAGUGAUGAAAGCCUGUGAGCAAGAAAAAGACGUGUUCAGGCUGUGGUCAGAACUCUUGG
Molecule: non-coding RNA, 486 nt
Filed under: Pan troglodytes (chimpanzee)
Lineage: Eukaryota; Metazoa; Chordata; Mammalia; Primates; Hominidae
Source: RNAcentral